UUAAUCGUUUUACUGGAAGUACUUUCAUGAUGGCGAGUUCGGCUGACCUGAUAAAUGGAGUGAAAAUGAUUUGAAAUGGCGCACCAUGGGAUAUUUUACGAAUAUGUGAACCUAAAGGCAAAGCAACAGAAAAUUAAAUUUAGAACGCCCUGACACCGUAAAACAAGCAAAUGAUCAGGAAAUAUCAUCGAUCCAAUUGCAGAUGAGAGAAAUGGUAAAUGCAUGACGAUGGAAGAAAUGGAAAAACGGAAGGUGGACAAUCCGGAACACCCAAAAUGGUAUAGGAAGCGAUACCCAAAUUUAAGGAUAGAAGACCGUUCAAACUUUGUUUAUAAACCCUAAUUUAAAUUCGCUUAAUCAUAUUUUAUUUUGGAAGACAAAACAUGCUGAAUAAAUAUAAUUAAAUUUAAA
RNAcentral lists this long non-coding RNA (411 nucleotides) under Aedes aegypti (yellow fever mosquito). RNAcentral describes it as "lncRNA AAEL021055". Lineage: Eukaryota; Metazoa; Arthropoda; Insecta; Diptera; Culicidae. The record is from RNAcentral.